AUUGAACGCUGGCGGCAGGCCUAACACAUGCAAGUCGAACGGUAGCACAGAGAGCUUGCUCUCGGGUGACGAGUGGCGGACGGGUGAGUAACGUCUGGGAAACUGCCCGAUGGAGGGGGAUAACUACUGGAAACGGUAGCUAAUACCGCAUAACGUCGCAAGACCAAAGUGGGGGACCUUCGGGCCUCACACCAUCGGAUGUGCCCAGAUGGGAUUAGCUAGUAGGUGGGGUAAUGGCUCACCUAGGCGACGAUCCCUAGCUGGUCUGAGAGGAUGAACAGCAACACUGGACCUGAGACACGGUCCAGACUCCGACGGGAGUCAGCAGUGGGGAAUAUUGCACGAUGGGCGCAAGCCUGAUGCAGCCAUGCCGCGUGUAUGAAGAAGGCCUUCGGGUUGUAAAGUACUUUCGGCGGGGAGGAAGGCGGUGAGGUUAAUAACCUUGCCGAUUGACGUUACCCGCAGAAGAAGCACCGGCUAACUCCGUGCCAGCAGCCGCCGUAA
Molecule: ribosomal RNA, 504 nt
Filed under: uncultured bacterium
Lineage: Bacteria
Description: partial 16S ribosomal RNA
Rfam family: Bacterial small subunit ribosomal RNA
Source: RNAcentral